CUAAAUUCUAUUUUACUACUGUAUCUCUGAAUGCUUCAACUUAAUAAGUUAAAACUUUCAACAACGGAUCUCUUGGUUCUGGCAUCGAUGAAGAACGCAGCGAAAUGCGAUAAGUAAUGUGAAUUGCAGAAUUCAGUGAAUCAUCGAAUCUUUGAACGCACAUUGCGCCCAUUAGUAUUCUAGUGGGCAUGCCUAUUCGAGCGUCAUUUCAACCCUUAAGCCUAGUUGCUUAGUGUUGGGAAUCUGCCCUGUAUUUAUAGGGCAGUUCCUUAAAGUGAUCGGCGGAGUUAGGGCAUACUCUAAGCGUAGUAAUAUUCUUCUCGCUUCUGUAGUUGUCCUGGCGGCUUGCCGUUAAACCCCUAUAUUUCUAGUGGUUGACCUCGGAUUAGGUAGGAAUACCCGCUGAACUUAAGCAUAUCAAUAAGCGGAGGAAAAGAAACCAACAGGGAUUGCCCUAGUAACGGCGAGUGAAGCGGCAACAGCUCAAAUUUGAAAUCUGGCCCUAGCGGUCCGAGUUGUAAUUUGUAGAGGAUGCUUUUGGUUAGGUGCCUUCUGAGUUCCCUGGAACGGGA
Molecule: ribosomal RNA, 572 nt
Filed under: Daldinia loculata
Lineage: Eukaryota; Fungi; Ascomycota; Sordariomycetes; Xylariales; Hypoxylaceae
Description: eukaryotic LSU rRNA
Rfam family: 5.8S ribosomal RNA (bases 53-206)
Source: RNAcentral